This 151-nucleotide unclassified non-coding RNA is filed under the name uncultured Hypocreales. RNAcentral's name for it is "sequence contains ITS1". Lineage: Eukaryota; Fungi; Ascomycota; Sordariomycetes; Hypocreales. The record is from RNAcentral.
CCGAGUUUACAACUCCCAAACCCAUGUGAACAUACCUAUUGUUGCUUCGGCGGUUCGCCCCGGGUGCAUCGCGCUCCCGGACUCAGGUGGCCGCCGGGGGAUCUUAACUCUUGUUUUCCAGUGAAUCUCUGAGUCGUUUUUAAAUAAAUAA